GGAAUAUUGCACAAUGGGCGAAAGCCUGAUGCAGCGACGCCGCGUGAGUGAUGAAGUAUUUCGGUAUGUAAAGCUCUAUCAGCAGGGAAGAAAUUGACGGUACCUGACUAAGAAGCUCCGGCUAAAUACGUGCCAGCAGCCGCGGUAAUACGUAUGGAGCAAGCGUUAUCCGGAUUUACUGGGUGUAAAGGGAGUGUAGGCGGCAUUAUAAGUCUGAUGUGAAAACUCAGGGCUCAACCUUGAGAUUGCAUUGGAAACUGUAAAGCUAGAGUGUCGGAGAGGUAAGCGGAAUUCCUGGUGUAGCAGUGAAAUGCGUAGAUAUCAGGAAGAACAUCGGUGGCGAAGGCGGCUUACUGGACGAUAACUGACGCUGAGGCUCGAAAGCGUGGGGAGCGAACA
This 399-nucleotide ribosomal RNA is filed under the name uncultured bacterium. RNAcentral's name for it is "bacterial SSU rRNA". It matches the Rfam family "Bacterial small subunit ribosomal RNA", at positions 358 to 774 of the family's 1533-position model. The record is from RNAcentral.